Molecule: ribosomal RNA, 450 nt
Filed under: uncultured bacterium
Lineage: Bacteria
Description: partial 16S ribosomal RNA
Rfam family: Bacterial small subunit ribosomal RNA
Source: RNAcentral
CCUACGGGUGGCUGCAGUGGGGAAUUUUGGACAAUGGGGGCAACCCUGAUCCAGCCAUGCCGCGUGCGGGAAGAAGGCCUUCGGGUUGUAAACCGCUUUUAGCCGGGAAGAAAAGGCGAUGUCUAAUACGGGUCGUUCUUGACGGUACCGGCGGAAUAAGCACCGGCUAACUACGUGCCAGCAGCCGCGGUAAUACGUAGGGUGCUAGCGUUAAUCGGAGCGACUGGGCGUAAAGCGUGCGCAGGCGGUUGAAAGCCCCGGGCUUAACCUGGGAACUGCAUUGGAGACUGGCGGGCUGGAGUGUGGCAGAGGGGGGUGGAAUUCCGCGUGUAGCAGUGAAAUGCGUAGAGAUGCGGAGGAACACCGAUGGCGAAGGCAGCCCCCUGGGCCGACACUGACGCUCAGGCACGAAAGCGUGGGGAGCAAACAGGAUUAGAUACCCCAGUAGUC